GACGAACGCUGGCGGCGUGCUUAACACAUGCAAGUCGAACGAGAACGCCCGGUCUUGUGGGGCACGGGUGGGUGAAGGGGGGGAACAUGCGUUUAGGUUCGGAAUAACUCCCCGAAAGGGGUGCUAAUAACGGGUAAUAUCUUCGGACAAGAGAUAUAUUGCGUUUGGAUGGGGCCGCGUUGGAUUAGCUUGUUGGUAGGGUAAAAGCCUACCAAGGCGACGAUCCGUAGCUGGUCUGAGAGGAUGAACAGCCACACUGGGACUGGGACACGGCCCAGACUCAUACGGGAGGCAGCGGUCGGGAAUAAUGGAGAGUGGGCGAGAGCCUGAUCCAGCAAUGCCGCGUGAGUGAUGAAGGCGUUAGGGAUGCAUAGCUCUUUUGCCCGGGAUGAUAAUGACGGUACCUGGAGAAGAAGCUCCGGCUAACUACGUG
RNAcentral lists this ribosomal RNA (433 nucleotides) under uncultured bacterium. Its description in RNAcentral is "partial 16S ribosomal RNA". It matches the Rfam family "Bacterial small subunit ribosomal RNA", at positions 28 to 507 of the family's 1533-position model. The record is from RNAcentral.